AACGAACGCUGGCGGCAGGCCUAACACAUGCAAGUCGAACGCAUCCUUCGGGGUGAGUGGCGCACGGGUGAGUAACACGUGGGAAUGUACCCUUUGGUUCGGAAUAACGUUUGGAAACGAACGCUAAUACCGGAUGAGCCCUACGGGGGAAAGAUUUAUCGCCAAAGGAGCAGCCCGCGUCUGAUUAGCUAGUUGGUGGGGUAAAGGCCUACCAAGGCGACGAUCGGUAGCUGGUCUGAGAGGAUGAUCAGCCACACUGGGACUGAGACACGGCCCAGACUCCUACGGGAGGCAGCAGUGGGGAAUAUUGGACAAUGGGCGCAAGCCUGAUCCAGCCAUGCCGCGUGAGUGAUGAAGGCCUUCGGGUUGUAAAGCUCUUUCGCACGCGGCGAUGAUGACGGUAGCGUGAGAAGAAGCCCCGGCUAACUUCGUGCCAGCAGCCGCCGUAA
Molecule: ribosomal RNA, 449 nt
Filed under: uncultured bacterium
Lineage: Bacteria
Description: partial 16S ribosomal RNA
Rfam family: Bacterial small subunit ribosomal RNA
Source: RNAcentral